Molecule: transfer RNA, 61 nt
Filed under: Festuca ultramafica
Lineage: Eukaryota; Viridiplantae; Streptophyta; Magnoliopsida; Poales; Poaceae
Description: partial tRNA-Phe
Rfam family: tRNA
About the family: Transfer RNA (tRNA) molecules are approximately 80 nucleotides in length. Their secondary structure includes four short double-helical elements and three loops (D, anti-codon, and T loops). Further hydrogen bonds mediate the characteristic L-shaped molecular structure. tRNAs have two regions of fundamental functional importance: the anti-codon, which is responsible for specific mRNA codon recognition, and the 3' end, to which the tRNAs corresponding amino acid is attached (by aminoacyl-tRNA synthetases). tRNAs cope with the degeneracy of the genetic code in two manners: having more than one tRNA (with a specific anti-codon) for a particular amino acid; and 'wobble' base-pairing, i.e. permitting non-standard base-pairing at the 3rd anti-codon position.
Source: RNAcentral
GUCAGGAUAGCUCAGUUGGUAGAGCAGAGGACUGAAAAUCCUCGNGUCACCAGUUCAAAUA